GUGCUUGGUCUGGCAACACUUGUAAUAAAAUUGGAACCAUAUACGAAGAAGAUUCACAUUGCACCUGCGCAAGGAUGACACACAAAUUGGUUAAUCAUUUCAUACUUUU
Molecule: small nuclear RNA, 109 nt
Filed under: Moschus moschiferus (Siberian musk deer)
Lineage: Eukaryota; Metazoa; Chordata; Mammalia; Artiodactyla; Moschidae
Source: RNAcentral